GCUGCGAUGGCCGAGUGGUUAAGGCGUUGGACUCGAAAUCCAAUAGGGUAUUCCCGCGCAGGUUCGAAUCCUGAUCGCAGCG
Molecule: non-coding RNA, 82 nt
Organism: Ciona savignyi (Pacific transparent sea squirt)
Lineage: Eukaryota; Metazoa; Chordata; Ascidiacea; Phlebobranchia; Cionidae
Source: Rfam